Long non-coding RNA from Triticum dicoccoides, 2279 nucleotides. RefSeq lists it as uncharacterized. The record is from RefSeq and is a predicted model, not a curated record. The transcript is spliced from 2 exons. NCBI's taxonomy places the organism in Eukaryota, Viridiplantae, Streptophyta, Magnoliopsida, Poales, Poaceae.
UGCCACGUUCUGUGCGUCCAAAUAAAACCCUAGUCUAAAAAAUCCCCAAAUACACCCGUGCCCACUCCCACCUGACUCGGAUCUCCUCUCACCGGCGGCGCCUCCAAGUCAGUCGCCGCCAGCCGCGCCACCCAAAAUCGCCUCCCCUCCUCCGCCCUCUGGUCCACCGCGCCACCCUCUCUCUGUUCGAUGCCACGUCCCCAGGCACCACUACACCGACACCAGCCUGCGACAUUUGCUGUCUGGUUCGACCUCCAUGCAACCUCCUCCGCCACUUCUUGGAUGGCUCAAGACCAUCGCUCUCUCCAUCUCCGGCGCCUUGCCCAGCUUCGUUUCUCACCUCGUGCCUCACCAUGAUCCGGCCGCUGCCUCACCCUCCCGCCACCAUCAACUACUUGAAGAUCAGCUUCGUCCGACGAACCAACAAGACAGCGGCGGCGGAGAGAUCAGGUUUGGGAGAGGCAACCCGACGAUGCAAAGAGGCCAGGGGAUGAGUUGGAAACUCUUCAAGGAACCCGCGUGUAGCACCAUCAGAUCUGGUCCCCUUCCAACUAUUUGAUGAUCACCUCUCCCUGGUUGCAGUUAAUCUAGAUGAGGAGUAAGAAUGUAAGAUCAAUGUCAUUCUUAUUGGUUUAUACUUCUAUGGUCCUGCCUUUCUCUAAAUUUCUAUGAUGAAUAAUUUCAACGCAGGUUUCCCUUUUAUGCUGCAAGAUCAUUCAAUCUCCAGCAUGCUCAAGAACAUCUAAUGUGUGACUACACUCUGUGUCCAGAGUAUUAAAAAUGAAACUGUAUUAGGAAUAGCCUUUUAUUAGAAGCUAUAUGCACAAGAAAUUAAUAUUCUGUGAUAAUAGUUAAUAAGUUAAACAUAUGUUGAGGGCUCCUAUCAUGGGCCAUACCAUGUCUUCUUAGUUGCUAGGUACUGUAAAAUCUGUAUAUUAAAAGGUUUAUUCAGAUGCUAAUACUGCUCGGUGAAAGAGAAAGUUAUUAUGUUAAUUCUGUAAUAUUUUUUCUCCAUGCGAUCACUUGUCAGUAUAUUGUUUCUCUUCUGUUUUAUUCCACUAUAAUGCAGGUGCAUUAAAUAUUAAUUGACUGCUCACUGUAGGUAGUAGGUUAAGUUUGCAAUAUCAAGAUAAUCUUAUCGGCCUUGCAAUGUUGGUACAGUCUGAAGCUUAAUCUUUUUACUACUUGCUUCUCCACUUCCUAUUUUUUUACAGUCCAGUACUUGACAAUUCCUUACCUGGUUGUGUAUGCUUAACAUUUAAGCUCAUUGUGUCCUUCCUUUGCCCAUAAUUUGUAUUUUUAUUUGUUAUAUUUAGAAUGAGGAAGCAUCAAGCAUCGUACAACUGUAGUGCAAGUAUACAAGUAGCUGUAGCUGCUGGAGAAGAUGAGCAAGCACACAACAGAUUCACAUACUGUAGUCUACGGUACUAGUACUAGUUGCUUAUGGCACUUAGUUGUAUUUAAGGUGAUGAACGGCCAAAUUCGUAGCAUGUCUAAAUCAAUUCAGAUAUGAGAAAACACAGACUUAAUAGGAAUAAGGUGGCCUGCGAUGGUCUGGUGGCGACCUUUAGAGUUUAGAUAUUAAAUCAUUCUGAGAUUGUUCAAUAUUGAAUGGAUGCCACUCCUUACUAAAAACAUUUUUGUGUUUGCUUUGCUAAGUACAUUACUGAUCUGUUUUUUAUGGUUUUUUAUGAUGUGCUGAUCUAAACUUGUGUAUUAACCAAAGCAUCAAACAACUAUACUUAUGCAGCUAAUUAUGAAAUAUGUUAAGUAGCACAGUACUUAAAAGUGCAGUGGGGAUCCAUGUAAAUUAUUUUGACCGACAACUUUUUAUACCAGUUUGUGUCUUCUUGUUCUGCCAAACAAAUUUAUUGUUUUACCAGCCCCAUCUUCAUGCCGCAAAUCUAGCUAAUAAUGUACUCAGGUUCAUAAUUUCAUAGAUUGUAAGCUUCUUAGUGGCAUUCUUAUACCUUGUUAUCUUGUAUGUUUUCAUCUCAUUAAGAUGUAACACACUGUUGUAUUUCAUUAAUUUAUAUAGGCACUGGGAGGAGUUCAAGACAGAGCAUGUGAUUUGGCUGAAGCAACUCAGCAAGCAAAUAAUCCAAAGCUGAUGGUGAAUGAAGGCCAUCUUUUGUGAUAGAAAGAUAGUUUGUAGAAUCAUACAUUGCAAUCAUGAGAACAACACAUAUGGUCUUUUUAGUUAUCUAUAGAUAUCACUUAUCGUCUUGUCUAUUGUCAGGCCAAACUUGAGUCGGUGCUAUUAUUUAUUGUCAUUUCUA